This 23-nucleotide non-coding RNA is filed under the name Arabidopsis thaliana (thale cress). Lineage: Eukaryota; Viridiplantae; Streptophyta; Magnoliopsida; Brassicales; Brassicaceae. The record is from RNAcentral.
GAAAGUAUCACCUAUCUCAACUC